UACGGAAGGUCCGGGCGUUAUCCGGAUUUAUUGGGUUUAAAGGGAGCGUAGGCCGGAGAUUAAGCGUGUUGUGAAAUGUAGGCGCUCAACGUCUGCACUGCAGCGCGAACUGGUUUCCUUGAGUACGCACAAAGUGGGCGGAAUUCGUGGUGUAGCGGUGAAAUGCUUAGAUAUCACGAAGAACUCCGAUUGCGAAGGCAGCUCACUGGAGCGCAACUGACGCUGAAGUUCGAAAGUGCGGGUAUCGAACAGG
Molecule: ribosomal RNA, 253 nt
Filed under: Segatella copri DSM 18205
Lineage: Bacteria; Pseudomonadati; Bacteroidota; Bacteroidia; Bacteroidales; Prevotellaceae
Description: Prevotella copri DSM 18205 partial 16S ribosomal RNA
Rfam family: Bacterial small subunit ribosomal RNA
Source: RNAcentral